GUUACCGGAGUUGAUCCCACGCUUACCAUUCCGGAGUGGCAGGCUUUGUGCUUGCGAUUGCUAGGGUUUGAGCUCGACGCAUACUUUUUCGAUCAUUCACGACUCAGGAUUGAGUGUUUGGAUGAUCAUUAUCGAUAUUUUCAUAUUGCAGAUGAUGCACCAGACGAGAUGGUGCAGCAGUAUGUUAGGGGUCAGAUGCUGC
Molecule: long non-coding RNA, 202 nt
Filed under: Elaeis guineensis (African oil palm)
Lineage: Eukaryota; Viridiplantae; Streptophyta; Magnoliopsida; Arecales; Arecaceae
Description: long non-coding RNA (EGUI_LNC012884)
Source: RNAcentral